This 75-nucleotide transfer RNA is filed under the name Thermomicrobiales bacterium. RNAcentral's name for it is "tRNA-Gly". It matches the Rfam family "tRNA". From Rfam's summary of the family: Transfer RNA (tRNA) molecules are approximately 80 nucleotides in length. Their secondary structure includes four short double-helical elements and three loops (D, anti-codon, and T loops). Lineage: Bacteria; Pseudomonadati; Thermomicrobiota; Thermomicrobia; Thermomicrobiales. The record is from RNAcentral.
GCGGAGGUAGCUCAAUGGUAGAGCUUCAGUUUUCCAAACUGAAGGUUGCGGGUUCGAGCCCCGUCCUCCGCUCCA